AGACGUCCCAAGGUAUGAGCUGUAGAUACGCACGUGAGCGCUGGUGGGAGACGCCAGGCUGGGAUUUCCGCUCGAUCUGGGAAUGAGCAAUGCAACCUAAUGACACCCAGAGCUCCUGAAUCACCCGAGGAAAAUGACGAGAGACUCCCUCCGGUGGGAACGUCUCCUAGAAACAAGGCCUAAGAUGGGGCGACAACAGCCCCACAGCUGUGUCCAGAUGCAGGGAGCACUCGCCUGUGCUGUGAGGGACGGCCGGUGUCAUCGUUGGAGCUUCCUAAGAGUCCCAGAGGCUGAUGCACCUCCCAGACUCUCCUCGGCCCGGCUCCCUGGGCCCUGCUCCAGGGGCUUCAUUGCUCCCUGCCCCGGGUCACCCCUCGGCUCACCGUCUCUCAGGUGUGGAAUAUCCUGCUCCAAUCAAAGCCAUGUCACCUGCGUUGUCCAGUGAAACAUCAGUGGACAGGCGCUGCCCGGGCUCCAGGGAGCUCCUCACUGAGGCUCACUCCCUGUGCCUCUGCCAUCAGCACAGGGGGACAUGCCUGGCUGCCUGUGGGACCAGGGAGGACGCGCGGUGCGGGAGCAGAGCCAGCCACACUGCCGCUGCUGCACUGUUCAUCUGAGUGGCGCAAGGUUAUGUGUUUCAGCUGCGAGUUUUUCAAAUUGUUGCAAAUCUUCAAACAUUUUUCCAACAAAUUUACUGAAAAAAAUCCACAUAUAAGUGGCACCCCCACCAGUUUAAACCUGUGUUGUUCAAGAGUCAGCUAUUUUUAUGAGGUGUUUUCAAAAGUUUAUGGAAAAUGAAUCUUAUGAAUAAAACUAUGCAUGGAUUUCAAAUCUUUUGCACCAAAAUAAACUCAUACUAACUUGUUAUAAAA
This 872-nucleotide long non-coding RNA is filed under the name Homo sapiens (human). Its description in RNAcentral is "novel transcript". The record is from RNAcentral. Lineage: Eukaryota; Metazoa; Chordata; Mammalia; Primates; Hominidae.